RNA transcript from Silurus meridionalis, 1777 nucleotides. It is a transcript of the gene named CMRF35-like molecule 1, with no coding region annotated. The record is from RefSeq and is a predicted model, not a curated record. NCBI's taxonomy places the organism in Eukaryota, Metazoa, Chordata, Actinopteri, Siluriformes, Siluridae. The transcript has 11 exons.
UUGACUUCAUGCAGCUCACUGAAAAAGAAAAAAAAAAGAUUGUAGAAAUAGUUAUGUAGCAUAAUGUGCUGAGUUUGUAAGAACGGCGGGUGAUGUACAGAAAACCAUGCAAAGAUUUCUAAGGACUCUGUCCUUUUUUCAAGUUCUGAUAUGUGCGACAUUGAAGAGCAAAGCUGAAAGUGUUUAUACAGGAACAGAAGGAGGCAGUGUGGAUAUCUCCUGUAAAUACCCUGAUGGAUAUCUUUAUACACCCAAGUACCUCUGUCGUGCUCCAUGCACUUCUUCUGAUGUAUUAAUUAAAUGUGAGAAGGCUGAUAGGGUCGUCUCUAAGGGAAAAUACAGUUUAGUAAACAAUGUCUCUGGACGUUGCUUCUCAGUCACCAUCAAACAUCUCACAUUACAGGACUCUGGAGUUUAUUACUGUGGUUUGAGUAAAUGGGGCUUUGACAAGUUGACUAAAGUAAAACUGACUGUCAGUACAGUAUCUACUCUGUCUACAAGUUCUUUUGAAACCACGCAGAUUACUUGGGCUACAACAGUGAUACUAAGUACUGCAGAUAAUUUAAUGUUAAAUAAACAAGCAUCAUCCACACCUGAAACCUUGGAAACUGCUUUAGACACACACGGACAGCUGCUUCUUGUUUCUGGAGCAAUACUGGGCCUAAUAUUGUGCUGUGUCCUUGCAGCUCUUGCAAUUUUUUACAGAAAGAAAUCCAGCACACACAUCACAUCUUUUAAACCACCUGCCCCUGAAGACCAAAUUCCAUGUCCACAACCUGAACAGGAGGACCUUUACCAUGUGUAUGAUGCGCUGUUGGAUGUAUAUAGCUUUGCUGGUCCAGCUAGAGGAGAUUCUUCAGCCAUCUACAGCACCAUUGAGCUCCCUGCUCCAGCAGAUAAUGACUGCAGUCCAUACUCUCUUGUAGCUCCUCAUUGAUAACAGCUACAGCACUCUAUAUAUGUGAGCAACAGAAUGUCCUCUAUGAGCUACACGUUACUGCACGUCAUAUAUUCAAAGAAACGUGCUCCCACAACAAAACAUCAGAGCUGUGAUGUCUCACCUUUUUUUCUGUAGUACUUCCUGUAAUGAUCACAUCACUGCUUCCUCCUCCUACUUAUGAAGAACCAAAAGUGAUCUCUCAGACCUCCUCUAACAACUGCACCAAUACAGCCUACAUCCUACAGCUCAAAGGCAGGGAGCAAAAUAAAAAAAGAGGAAAAACGUUUAAAAACAUGUAUAGAUAUAUAGCACACUGUGCUGAGUUUAGAAAGAAGCCUGGCGAUGUGCAGAAAGCAUGGUUGUUCUUCAUGCAAGUUCUUAUAUGUGUGACAAUGAAGAGCAAAGCUGAAAGUGUUUAUACUGGAACAGAAGGAGGCAGUGUGGAUAUCUUUUGUAAAUACCCUGAUGGAUAUCAAUAUACACCAAUGUUCUUCUGUCGUGAUCCAUGCACUUAUUCUGAUGUAUUAAUUAAAUGUGAGAAGGCUGAUAGGGUCGUCUCUAAGGGAAGAUACAGUGCAUUAAACAGUGUCUCUGGACGUUGCUUUUCUGUCGCCAUCAGACACCUCACAUUACAGGACUCUGGAGUUUAUUACUGUGGUUUGAGUACAUGGGACUUUGACAAGUUGACUAAAGUAAAGUUCACUGUCAGUAAAGCUGUUUCUACUGAGUUCUCUCCCGCUCCAGUGUCCAGUAUGAAUAAAAUCCUUAAAGCUACAGAGCACUCAGACGCCUCCACAGUAGCUACUGCAGGUAGAGGAAAUAAAUGUAUUCUGUGCA